UACGUAGGCAGCAAGCGUUGUUCGGAGUUACUGGGCGUAAAGGGUGUGUAGGCGGUUCCUUAAGUUUGCUGUGAAAUCUCCCGGCUUAAACCGGGAGGGUGCGGUGAAUACUGAGGGACUAGAGUACGGGAGAGGAAAGUGGAAUUCCUGGUGUAGCGGUGAAAUGCGUAGAGAGUACUGAAGGAAGACCAGUGGCGAAGGCGGGUCUCUGGACAGUUCC
Molecule: ribosomal RNA, 220 nt
Filed under: uncultured bacterium
Lineage: Bacteria
Description: partial 16S ribosomal RNA
Rfam family: Bacterial small subunit ribosomal RNA
Source: RNAcentral